This 308-nucleotide ribosomal RNA is filed under the name uncultured eukaryote. RNAcentral's name for it is "partial 18S ribosomal RNA". It matches the Rfam family "Eukaryotic small subunit ribosomal RNA", at positions 1470 to 1796 of the family's 1831-position model. The record is from RNAcentral.
CCCUUAGAUGUUCUGGGCCGCACGCGCGCUACAAUGGCAAACUCAGCGAGUCUCCUUUACCGACAGGUAUAGGAAAUCUUUUCAGUGUUUGCCGUGAUGGGGCUAGACCCUUGUAAUUAUUGGUCUCCAACGAGGAAUUCCUAGUAAACGCAGGUCAUUAGCCUGCAUUGAUUACGUCCCUGCCCUUUGUACACACCGCCCGUCGCACCUACCGAUUGAAUGGUCCGGUGAAGUCUCCGGACUGAGUACUUUUAGUACUUGGGAAGUUGACUAAACCUUACUAUUUAGAGGAAGGUGAAGUCGUAACA